GACGAACGCUGGCGGCGUGCUUAACACAUGCAAGUCGAACGGAAAGGCCCUGCUUUUGUGGGGUGCUCGAGUGGCGAACGGGUGAGUAACACGUGAGUAACCUGCCCUUGACUUUGGGAUAACUUCAGGAAACUGGGGCUAAUACCGGAUAGGAGCUCCUGCUGCAUGGUGGGGGUUGGAAAGUUUCGGCGGUCGGGGAUGGACUCGCGGCUUAUCAGCUUGUUGGUGGGGUAGUGGCUUACCAAGGCUUUGACGGGUAGCCGGCCUGAGAGGGUGACCGGCCACAUUGGGACUGAGAUACGGCCCAGACUCCUACGGGAGGCAGCAGUGGGGAAGAUUGCACAAUGGGCGGAAGCCUGAUGCAGCAACGCCGCGUGCGGGAUGACGGCCUUCGGGUUGUAAACCGCUUUCGCCUGUGACGAAGCGUGAGUGACGGUAAUGGGUAAAGAAGCACCGGCUAACUACGUG
Molecule: ribosomal RNA, 468 nt
Filed under: uncultured bacterium
Lineage: Bacteria
Description: partial 16S ribosomal RNA
Rfam family: Bacterial small subunit ribosomal RNA
Source: RNAcentral